RNAcentral lists this ribosomal RNA (468 nucleotides) under uncultured bacterium. RNAcentral's name for it is "partial 16S ribosomal RNA". It matches the Rfam family "Bacterial small subunit ribosomal RNA", at positions 28 to 507 of the family's 1533-position model. The record is from RNAcentral.
GACGAACGCUGGCGGCGUGCUUAACACAUGCAAGUCGAACGGAAAGGCCCUGCUUUUGUGGGGUGCUCGAGUGGCGAACGGGUGAGUAACACGUGAGUAACCUGCCCUUGACUUUGGGAUAACUUCAGGAAACUGGGGCUAAUACCGGAUAGGAGCUCCUGCUGCAUGGUGGGGGUUGGAAAGUUUCGGCGGUUGGGGAUGGACUCGCGGCUUAUCAGCUUGUUGGUGGGGUAGUGGCUUACCAAGGCUUUGACGGGUAGCCGGCCUGAGAGGGCGACCGGCCACAUUGGGACUGAGAUACGGCCCAGACUCCUACGGGAGGCAACAGUGGGGAAUAUUGCACAAUGGGCGGAAGCCUGAUGCAGCAACGCCGCGUGCGGGAUGACGGCCUUCGGGUUGUAAACCGCUUUCGCCUGUGACGAAGCGUGAGUGACGGUAAUGGGUAAAGAAGCACCGGCUAACUACGUG